RNAcentral lists this ribosomal RNA (264 nucleotides) under uncultured bacterium. RNAcentral's name for it is "partial 16S ribosomal RNA". It matches the Rfam family "Bacterial small subunit ribosomal RNA", at positions 793 to 1055 of the family's 1533-position model. The record is from RNAcentral.
GUCCACGCCCUAAACGAUGUCAACUGGUUGUUGGACGGCUUGCUGUUCAGUAACGAAGCUAACGCGUGAAGUUGACCGCCUGGGGAGUACGGCCGCAAGGUUGAAACUCAAAGGAAUUUACGGGGACCCGCACAAGCGGUGGAUGAUGUGGUUUAAUUCGAUGCAACGCGAAAAACCUUACCUACCCUUUACAUGUCUGGAAGUUUCUAGAGAUAGAUUCGUGCUCGAAAGAGAACCAGAACACAGGUGCUGCAUGGCCGUCGU